Molecule: ribosomal RNA, 449 nt
Filed under: uncultured bacterium
Lineage: Bacteria
Description: partial 16S ribosomal RNA
Rfam family: Bacterial small subunit ribosomal RNA
Source: RNAcentral
UGGGGAAUAUUGCACAAUGGGCGCAAGCCUGAUGCAGCCAUGCCGCGUGUGUGAAGAAGGCCUUCGGGUUGUAAAGCACUUUCAGCGAGGAGGAAGGUGGUGAGCUUAAUACGCUCAUCAAUUGACGUUACUCGCAGAAGAAGCACCGGCUAACUCCGUGCCAGCAGCCGCGGUAAUACGGAGGGUGCAAGCGUUAAUCGGAAUUACUGGGCGUAAAGCGCACGCAGGCGGUUUGUUAAGUCAGAUGUGAAAUCCCCGGGCUCAACCUGGGAACUGCAUUUGAAACUGGCAAGCUAGAGUCUCGUAGAGGGGGGUAGAAUUCCAGGUGUAGCGGUGAAAUGCGUAGAGAUCUGGAGGAAUACCGGUGGCGAAGGCGGCCCCCCUGGACGAAGACUGACGCUCAGGUGCGAAAGCGUGGGGCAGCAAACAGGAUUAGAUACCCUGGUAGU